AUGAACGCUGGCGGCGUGCCUAACACAUGCAAGUCGAGCGAUCUUCUUCGGAAGAGAGCGGCGGACGGGUGAGUAACGCGUGGUGUGACCUGCCCUGUACACACGGAUAACAUACCGAAAGGUAUGCUAAUACGGGAUAAUAUGCUUUUAUCGCAUGGUAGAAGUAUCAAAGCUCCGGCGGUACAGGAUGGACCCGCGUCUGAUUAGCUAGUUGGUAAGGUAAUGGCUUACCAAGGCGACGAUCAGUAGCCGACCUGAGAGGGUGAUCGGCCACAUUGGAACUGAGACACGGUCCAAACUCCUACGGGAGGCAGCAGUGGGGAAUAUUGCACAAUGGGCGAAAGCCUGAUGCAGCAACGCCGCGUGAGCGAUGAAGGCCUUCGGGUCGUAAAGCUCUGUCCUCAAGGAAGAUAAUGACGGUACUUGAGGAGGAAGCCCCGGCUAACUACGUGCCAGCAGCCGCGGUAAUACGUAGGGGGCUAGCGUUAUCCGGAAUUACUGGGCGUAAAGGGUGCGUAGGUGGUUUCUUAAGUCAGAGGUGAAAGGCUACGGCUCAACCGUAGUAAGCCUUUGAAACUGGGAAACUUGAGUGCAGGAGAGGAGAGUGGAAUUCCUAGUGUAGCGGUGAAAUGCGUAGAUAUUAGGAGGAACACCAGUUGCGAAGGCGGCUCUCUGGACCUGUACUGACACUGAGGCACGAA
Molecule: ribosomal RNA, 701 nt
Filed under: uncultured Clostridium sp.
Lineage: Bacteria; Bacillati; Bacillota; Clostridia; Eubacteriales; Clostridiaceae
Description: bacterial SSU rRNA
Rfam family: Bacterial small subunit ribosomal RNA
Source: RNAcentral